This 233-nucleotide ribosomal RNA is filed under the name uncultured bacterium. RNAcentral describes it as "partial 16S ribosomal RNA". It matches the Rfam family "Bacterial small subunit ribosomal RNA", at positions 99 to 334 of the family's 1533-position model. The record is from RNAcentral.
CGGACGGGUGAGUAAUGUCUGGGAAACUGCCUGAUGGAGGGGGGUAACUACUGGAAACGGUAGCUAAUACCGCAUAACGUCGCAAGACCAAAGAGGGGGGACCUUAGGGCCUCUUGCCAUCGGAUGUGCCCAGAUGGGAUUAGCUAGUAGGUGGGGUAACGGCUCACCUAGGCGACGAUCCCUAGCUGGUCUGAGAGGAUGACCAGCCACACUGGAACUGAGACACGGUCCAG